This 465-nucleotide ribosomal RNA is filed under the name uncultured Klebsiella sp. Its description in RNAcentral is "bacterial SSU rRNA". It matches the Rfam family "Bacterial small subunit ribosomal RNA", at positions 338 to 795 of the family's 1533-position model. Lineage: Bacteria; Pseudomonadati; Pseudomonadota; Gammaproteobacteria; Enterobacterales; Enterobacteriaceae. The record is from RNAcentral.
CCUACGGGCGGCAGCAGUGGGGAAUAUUGCACAAUGGGCGCAAGCCUGAUGCAGCCAUGCCGCGUGUGUGAAGAAGGCCUUCGGGUUGUAAAGCACUUUCAGCGGGGAGGAAGGCGGGGGGGUUAAUAACCUCAUCGAUUGACGUUACCCGCAGAAGAAGCACCGGCUAACUCCGUGCCAGCAGCCGCGGUAAUACGGAGGGUGCAAGCGUUAAUCGGAAUUACUGGGCGUAAAGCGCACGCAGGCGGUCUGUCAAGUCGGAUGUGAAAUCCCCGGGCUCAACCUGGGAACUGCAUUCGAAACUGGCAGGCUAGAGUCUUGUAGAGGGGGGUAGAAUUCCAGGUGUAGCGGUGAAAUGCGUAGAGAUCUGGAGGAAUACCGGUGGCGAAGGCGGCCCCCUGGACAAAGACUGACGCUCAGGUGCGAAAGCGUGGGGAGCAAACAGGAUUAGAUACCCCGAUAGUC